AUUGAACGCUGGCGGCAGGCCUAACACAUGCAAGUCGAACGAGUGGCGGACGGGUGAGUAAUGUCUGGGAAACUGCCCGAUGGAGGGGGAUAACUACUGGAAACGGUAGCUAAUACCGCAUACCAUCGGAUGUGCCCAGAUGGGAUUAGCUAGUAGGUGGGGUAACUGCUCACCUAGGCGACGAUCCCUAGCUGGUCUGAGAGGAUGACCAGCCACACUUGUAAUGAGACUCGGUCCAGACUCCUACGGGAGGCGGCAGUGGUGAAUAGUGCACAAUGGGCGAAAACCUGAUGCAGCCAGGCGGCGUGUAUGAAGAAGGCCUUCGGGUGGUAAAGUACUUUCAGCGAGGAGGCGUUACUCGCAGAAGAAGCACCGGCUAACUCCGUUCCAGCAGCCGCGGUAAUAC
This 406-nucleotide ribosomal RNA is filed under the name uncultured bacterium. Its description in RNAcentral is "partial 16S ribosomal RNA". It matches the Rfam family "Bacterial small subunit ribosomal RNA", at positions 30 to 526 of the family's 1533-position model. The record is from RNAcentral.